AGGUCCUUCUUCCUCUCCCUAUACUGUUCCACCAACCUCCGUACCAGGUGAAUUGCCUCCGUCGUCGAGCGGCCAGGCAUAAAUCCAAACUGGUUUUCUGAAAUAGACACUAUCCGUCUCAGCCUCACCUCGACCACUCUCUCCCAGAUUUUCAUAGAGUGACUCAAUAACUUAAUACCCCUAUAGUUGUUGCAACUCUGGAUGUCCCCCUUAUUCUUAUAGAGAGGUAUCAUGGUGCUCCACCUCCAAGCCUCGGGCAUCUUUGCCGUCUUGAAGAUUUCAUUAAACAAUCCCGUCAACCACCUCAGACCAGCCUCUCCAACGAACUUCCAAAACUCGACCGGUAUCUCAUCCGGCCCCGUCGCCCUACCCCUUCGCAUUCUGCGAACAGCCUGUCUAACCUCUUCUACCUUAAAACGUCUACAAUAGCUAAAAUCCCGACACUCCUCUGAGUGCUCCAGUUCCCCUAACACAAUAGCUCUAUCCCCUUCGUCAUUCAAGAGCCUAUGAAAGUACGACUGCCAUCUAUUCUUAAUGUGGCCGUCUUCCACCAACACUCUACCGUCCUCCCCCUUAAUGCACCUCACCUGAUCGAGGUCACGACCCUUCCUCUCCCUAGCCCUAGGGAGUCUAAACAACUUUUUCUCCCCUCCCUUCCCCUGUAACCCUGCAUACAGGCUCUCAAAGGCGGCCGUCUUAGCUGCCGUGACUGCUGACUUAGCCUCCUUCCUCGCUAGCUUGUACUCUUUCCUAUUUACCCGCUUCUUCUCUUCGUCCUUACUCUCCACCAACUUGGCAUACGCCUCUUUCUUGGUCCCCACUUUCUUCUCCACCUCUUCAUUCCACCACCAAUCCCCCUGAUGGUGCCCGGCCCGGCCCCUAGAAACCCCCAACACCUCACUUGCAUUCUCCCUGAUGCACUUUGCCGCCCUGUCCCACAUACUAUCCACGUCCCCCCUACACUCCCACACCCCCAUUCCCGCCAACCUCUCCCCUAUCUCUCACACAUUCACUGGCGUCAGGCCGCCCCACUUAAUUCUAGGUCUACACUCCUUACUCCUCCUCUUUCUAUUCUUCUUUAUACCCAAAUCCAUAACCAAGAGCCUAUGCUGGGUCGAAAGAUUCUCACUCGGGAUGACUUUACAGUCCUUACACAACGCCCUAUCCCCUUUCCUAAGCAACAAAAAGUCAAUCUGGGUCCUGGCUAUCGCGCUUCGAAAGGUGAUCAGGUGCUCGUCCUUCUUCGGGAAGCCCGAGUUCACCACCACCAGCCCAAAGGACCUCGCAAACAGCAAGAAGAACAAUACAAAAAUAUAAAUAUCAACAAUUGAGCAUUGAACAUAGAUUUCACUAACAUCAAACUGAAAGAGAAAGAUUUUUCCUUUUUGAUUGGUCUAAUAGAAAUGACUUCUAUAAACCAAGAAAAAUGAAAUCAAGAGAAAAAAUGAAUUGCAACUAAAUUUAAGUAAAUCCUCAUAAGGAAAGAUCCCACAUGCAUACAUAAAAUUAUAACAACAGAAACUACUUUGAACAACAAAAAAUAACUGAUGUCAUUAAAAACUUUCAAAGCUUGAGUACCUUUACUCACACUGCGGCCAAGGUUGUUGUUUACUCGUAAAGGAUCAAUCACGUUAAAAUAUUUAGACACAAACGGUUGUCCUUGGCUUUCCUGGCCGCCAGGGAAAACAGCAUAUACAGAGCUACAGGCAUCAAGAAACAAUUUGCUGAGGAGCAAUUCUCCACUAUCUUUUCGAGGAGGUUCCGCUGCAUGUUCCAACUACACUUAAGCUAACAAAUAAACUCACAUCAAAGUACAAGGAAAACAGAACUAAAAGUGACUCUUCUACAUAUCUUUACCAGUGACAUCAGGAAGUGAACUAAUUGGCACAGGCCCCCACAAGCUAACACAAAAGUUGUCCCAAUCAAAGUUGCUGAAGAACUCCAAGAAGCGAUAAAGAACCUGCAAGUAUAAAAUACAAGCCUUUUUUGAGAAUGAAGUAUAAAAUACAAAACUUCAAAGGAUAGAAAUUCACACUAAGAACCAAAAAAUAAAAGAAAGAGAGAGAAAAAGUAAAAGUUGCAACUUAGUAACCUCUAGAGGCCCAACAAACGAAUUGUUGAACAUGUGAAAUAUAUAAAGAACUAAGGUCUCCAAGGCAUAAGUUGAAAUAAGACCAUGAUGAGCACCCAAUAAACGGCUCUCAUAAUAACACCACGCCUUAAUUAAAAUAAUGCUGCGCUUGAAUAAAUGAUUCUGGUUUAUCAGGUGAUCGACCUACAACAGACGAACAAGUACAGAUUUCAUUUCCUUUUAUUUUUUUGGAAACUGAAAAUAAAAUGGUACAUUAACGUUAUGACCAUAUCAUCAAAUAUCAGAUUUUUUUUCCAUUGUAAGAAGAAACUACAUACCUCCUCAAGGAAGCAAAGGGUACACAAACCCCCUAGCUGAUUGAAAGAUAUGUCAACCACGAUAUUUUCAACUAAACAUUUUAUUAGCUUCACCUGCAAUAGAAAGGGGAAGAGAACAAUGAAAAGUGAGUGCACAAAAAUAAAAGAAUAUUAAUGAUUAUGGUGCAUAGGAAUACAAAUGAAGAAAUGUAAAGUAUAACACCCAAGAACUUAAGCAGCAUUUGCCUUCUCCAAGUAUAAUAAUAAGACAUCAAUAUAUAAAUAAAUUAUUGAUUAUUCAUGUUAAAAUAUUAGCUUCAAAUCCAAAUGACAUUUCAAUAACUCAAAUUAAAAAGCCACUUCCUCAACACUACAAUAUCCUCAUUAACAAAGUUCAAUCCCAGGAAAAAACGUAAACUACAACAACCUACCCAGUGUAAUAGUGUAAUCCCCCAACUGGGGUUUGGGGAGGGUAGGAGGUACACAUACCUUACACCUAUCUUUCUAGGGUAGAAAGGUAGUUCCCGAUAGACCAUCUGAAGGUAAAAGUGUAAAGUGAGGGCAAUAACUCAAAACUUGCAAAAACAUGGCGGCAACCAAUAUGCCAUCCCCAUGCGAAAAUCCCGAAGGUGCAAGAAAUAGCAUAUGUAGUGCCAGGUGUUACCAAAAAUAUGAAGCUUACAUCACUUAAAAAAAGAUUACAUUUAAAGACCCAAUUGGAAAGAUCUACACCAUUAGGAUACAAUAACUGCAACUGCAGGAUAAAGAAGCCCUCCAGCAAGCUCAAGAGGAUCCCAUUGACAGCUUUAGACAAACAGAACAAGGGGAAAAAGAAGACAUCCUUAAACCAGCGCUUAGAUAAAUAACAACAUUUCAACUGAAAUCUUAUAACAUACUUUUUUUAUCAGCCAUCUCUCAUCAUUCUUAAACCAAUGGACUAAGCCUAUGAAGGAAUAUCAGUUUUUAUUUUCUUGCUUUUGAUAUUGAAAACCCAACCAAGAGAUAAAUAUGACAUGCUAAUUAGCAAUCAGGCAAUACAGAUGAGUCUCAAAUAAAUGCAAGAGAAAAAUGCUUCAUUAAAUUUACAACUCUAUCAUAUGAGAUCCAAAGGGAGUAACAGACAAGACAUUUGACCACUGAAAUAUGUCUUGAUGAAUGGUACUAGGAAAAACUUCUAGGAUGAGCCCUUCUCAAAGAGGUACACUUUCAUUGGGAACACAGUGUACCCCAAUUUUACAGCGAACUUCAAUUCCUCGCUAAAGUAAACCCCUACAAACAUACCAAUCGGGAAGAUCAGACUAGACAUUUUUGAAGUCGGAAGCAGGUCAGAAUUCCAGCUUCCUCUAUUUAGUUAGGAAAGCGAGAAGUCAUGAUAUUUAGUUAACACACACUGACAACUGAGUGUGGCAUCCAACGCAAUGAAACCAUCAGUUAAUGACGUGUUCGUUGCCAAGGUAGAUCUUUUUCUUUGCCUUACAAGAUAUUGCGUAUAAAGAGAAACACAAUCAGUUCUCCUGGGCGGCCGAGAGUGUUAUGUAAAAAGGACCAAGGAGGAUCCUAUCCUAAAGGAGGAGGAAUGUAAUUAAUAAUCCAGAGGGAAUCCUGAUAUUGAGUGAACCUCAAUGAUAUGCCAGCCUGGAGUUAGUUCUUCCUGUGGACAGCUCUUUUUUAAAACCUAAUCUAGGCAUUAAUAAUAUAAAACCAUCACGCUAAAGAAAGAUAUAUGAACAAUUUCUUCCUGUGGAUAGCUCUUUUUUUAAGACCUAAUCUAGGCAUUAAUAAUAUAAAACCAUCACGCAAAAGAAAGAUAUAUGAACAAGGCAAUCAAUUCUUUGACUUUCUGUUAACAAAUUAAAAAGGGAAAGANNNNNNNNNNNNACAUUUGCUUAUAUUCUUAAAGGUCAGAAGAAAAUGAGAACAUAUAGAUAUCAUGGUAUACUUCAUUUUCUUUAUGAAAUUCCUUUAAGGCCCAAAGAAUGCAGAUACCAUUCAGGUCCAAAAUAAACAACGAAGAAACUACUUUCACCAAUCUAUUGUUCUCAAAAUUGGAUGAAACCUGAACAGAGCUCUCUAAAUGGAGCGAUGCUCCAACAUACUCUAACUCUGUCAGCAGAGUGUAAUUCCAAUCACUGCAGAAAAGAAAACCUACACACGUCACCUGCUUUUUCCUACUAUGCUCUGAUGCAACAAAACUAAGAACACAACAACGACAACAUACCAAGUGUAAUCCAACAAAUGGGGUCUGGGGAGGGUGGUGCAUACGCAGCCUUACCCCCACCUUGUGAAUAGAGAGGCUUUUUCCAAUAGACCCUCAGCAACAAAACUAAGAGCACAUUUAAUGCAAAUUCUAAAUUAAAUGGGGGUUGUGUAGAAGACAUACUUCAGCUUGAAUGUACUGAACCUCCUUGACACGGAAUUCAGCAUUUUCAUUUUUCUCCUCCUCCUCUAACAUAUCCCGGACUUGAUAAGCCCAUGUAUCUUUCAAAGUUUGGUUAUUACAGAAGGCAGUUAAAUCAAUGUCCCCAUCAGGAAGAUAAGUCUUCAAGGGUACUGAACCAAAAGUGAAAACCUGGAAGAGUAAGGUGAUCAAAAAGAUUAGCAGCAAAAAGCCGCACAUUACCAAGCCAGAACAUAAUGCCUGCAUAUUAUGUUUUCUUUCAGUAAUAACAGUAAGAGGAUGAAGUUUGUAUGGCAACUCUAAGUAAUUCUUUCUUUACCAAAGAAAGCUUACACCAAUGAAAGACCGUCAACUGCAUCACAAACACUAAUGCUGAAUUCACUUUAUGACCAUAAAAAUAAUCACUUUCCCUGGUCAAUGAGAUACAACUAUGUUCAUCAUGCUAUACCCUGUCAAUCAUUCAUGAUGACUCCGUGUUUUAUUGAUUGCAUUGCUAAAUUUUUAACCACUCCAAACCAGCAGUCCACUUAGCACUUCUUUUCAACCACCUCCACUACAUACAUUUCCAUUUCCGAUGGUAUAAUUUGCUAAGAAAAGCAGACUAAUUCACUCUAUAAUUUGAACAACAUAUUAAUUCAUUUCAAAAGUUAACAUAAAUUUAUUGUGGCCAUAGUUUCAACCAGUGUACACCAAUGCGCGAAAGUCAUUGAGAAUUCAUUUUUACAUUAUCACAAUAGAGCAGCCAAACAAUGCAUAUGAAACUUCUAUACAACUAUUGUUAUCAGAAUGCGGCCACACAAGCAACAAUAGGAAAUUUCAAGACAACCUGACAAGGAAAGCACUUCAUGAUGAGCCGCUGAACGUAAUCAGCAACAGCAUUUCUCCGUUCCUCAGAUGGCCGAUUAGGCUGAAUACAACCAACUAACUCAGCAAUUCUUUCCUCAGCCCGUAACCAUCUUUCCGAGUCAAGAACUCGGAUCAUUGGUUCUGCAUUGGGCACUAACCCAUUCGGCAAUAGCCCACUUGGCUCUGCCCAUCCCUCAUGUUCUCCCAUACAAUACUAACUUGUUAACCCACUAAAUAACUUAAAUUUGUUCUCUUUUUCACCUCUUAUGAAAUCCAAUAUCUAUCUAUCUGCUAAACUAACUCCACUUAAGCAAGGUAGCCAAUAAUACUACAAUUUAAAUUACAAUAAAAAAAUCCAAUAAUCAAAAAUUUAACAAGAAUCCCUAAAAGGGUAUACUUUAUAUGAAACAAAAAAAACAAUUUCCAACCCCCAAAUAAAGGAAACCCUAAAUUUUGAUAGCACUUCUUGAUCAAGAUUCAAAUGGAGAUUGGACUAAAUAAAGAAACCCCAAAAAUGAAAACUUUACGUAUAUAUAAUAAAAAUUAAAAUUAGAAAAAAUAAAACAAAAAAAACACAGAAGCUUCUUCUUGUUACUAUAUAAGAAAGAUGAUAAUUUUCAUUUCAACAAGAUUAUCAGGAUCUUGAAAAUCCAGAUAAGAAAAAUGGUAAGUAUAUUUCAAGAAAAUGGGUAAGGGAAAUGACAAGUGUGUGUUUGUGUGCGUGAGAGAGAAUCAGAAUUUCAAGAAAAAUGGAGGAAUUGGCAUUGACGUAUUUGAAGAUGGUAAGGGGAUUUUUUCUUUUUGUGUAUGUAUAUGUUGUUUGUUCUGGAAAAAUAAUUGGUGAAAAGAAGACAUGUUUUUUUUUCCUUUUUUACUUUUUUUGUAUUCUGUGGUUUUUUCCCUCAAGACUUUCAAUCUCCAACUGAAAUGAAAUGGGGAUGUGAAUAUUUUGGCUAAUGAUAAAGUAAUAAUUAAAUUACCAAAAAAGGAUUAUGUAUAUCUAAUUAACUUAUCCGAAAAUAUAAGGUAACUUAAAUUAUAUAAUUUUUAAAUACAAAAAUUUUAUUUUUUAAAAAUUUAUGUUCAAAUUUGCAUACAAAUAUUAAAUGGUUAUUUUGACUCUCUUAUUCCAAAUUAAGUCAAGGAAUUAAAAAUAGAAUGCGUAACUAAAUUUCAAAUAACCACUAGAAUCAUUGAUAUACUGUUUUUAGUGUGUGUAUAUUCAAUUAAAUUCCAUUUAUUUAUUGCGAAGAAAAUUUUCCAGAUUUGUCUAUACACUUUUAGGCCAUCAAAUCUGCAGGUGCCGUUUGUUGAGUUUUUGUGCCCUAACCUAGAGCAGUAAACUAGCCGGUGAUUUUUUGUUUUUUCACCUUCAUUAAAAAAACGGAAAAGAUAAAAAGUAUAACGGUACAAAUAUACUUUUGUCAUAUUUUGAAUACAAAUAUAUUCUUAUCGUUAAUAAAAAAAUAUAAAUAUACCUUCAAAUUUUAAUAAAUAGUACAAAUAUACCCUCAUCAUACUUUGAAUACAAAUAUAUUUUUACCAUUAAAGAAAACGUACAAAUAUACCCUUCUCAUUAACGACGGGACACGUGUCAGUAUCGUAUUGGUUGGCCUUUUUUAAAUUUAUCUUAUCUAUGAAUAAUUUAAUCUAUCAUAAAUUAUAAUUCAUACCUGAUCCAAAUAACUCGACCUGACCAGUGUAAUAGAGAAGCUUCAAGAGACAUAUUACGUGUCUCUAUUCACGCGUGUUUCUUUUUUCCAUCUCUCACACUCACACUCUCUCACUAACCCAAAAAAUCCUAACAAAUGCAUCAGUUCGAUUCAUAUUUCGAUCCAUCUACCAUCUAGAAUCGAGUAGAUAUUUGUUUGAUAUUGUGAUGUUGUUUAAUGUUUUGAUGUUAGAUUAAUAUUCUGAUGUUGUUUAAUGUUCCUCAUGAAUGACUGUUGAUUGUUUUUUUUUUAAUUCAUGAGUGUCUGUGAAUCAAAAAUUAUUUCUAAUUCAUGGUUAUCUUUACCUGCUUUAAAUUCAUUGUUACACUAUUGUUCACCAACUUCAAAGAGUGAACAAGAAGACAACAUUUUAAGAACAAAAACAUGAGAAAAACUUACAAGUUUGGACAUUCCUCAGUCAAACCAAGGUCCUCAUUGUAUCACAGGUCGGAUCAGGUUAUUUGGACAGGAUAUGAAUUAUAAUUUAGGAUGGAUGCAAUUAUUCACAGGUAAAAUAAAUUUAAAAAGGUCAAUCAAUAUAAUGCUGACAUGUGUCCCGCCGUUAAUGAGAAGGGUAUAUUUAUACCUUUUCGUUAACGACAAGGGUAUAUUUAUACCCAAAGUAUAAUGUAGGGUAUAUUUGUACCAUUUCUUAAAGUUUAGGGGUAUAUUUGUACUUUUCAUUAACUGCAAAGGUAUAUCUGUACCCAAAAUAUGAUGUAUGAUAUAUUUAUAUCAUUUAUUAAAGUUCAGAGGUAUAUUUGUACCUUUUUUGAUUUAAAAAAUGAAAUACUAAUCUUUUUAUAGAAUAAGUAUAUUUUUGUUCAUCUAUACUUAAAAUAUUUUUAAAUUUUUCAUGUUUAUUUAUCUCUCAACGUCUAUUUUUUUUAAUUAUUUUUUCUUAUUUUAAUUCAUUUAUCUCAAUCUUUUUAUUAUUAUUAUUAUUUUCAUUUUUUUCUCAAAUAUUAUUUAUUUUUCAUUUCUCUUUUUUUCUCUAAUUCAUUUCUCUCAACCUUUAUUUUUUAUUAUUAUCAUUUCUUUUCUUUUUUUCAAACUUUAUUUUUUUCCUUCUCAUUUUCAUUUUUCUCAAUAUUUAUUUUUUUAUUCUUCUUUUUUAAUUUCUUUUUUCUUAACCUUACUUUGUUCCUUUUUAUUUCUCAAUCUUUUUUUUCCUUUUCUCUUUUUUUUCUUUUCUUCUCAAUUUUUAUUAUUUAUUGUUAAGAAAAUUGGAUAAUCCGCAAAGGUUCUUCUCUCUUUGAUGUCGAAGUAAAUUUAAAGGUGUAACUUAUUGUUUGGAAGUCCUUUUGGAUAAGUCUUGUCUUUAAGGCAGAAGUUAUAGAAAUAUCAAAAAUCAAAACGCAAUGUGGUAGUGUCAAAUCUUGUUUGUGAGCAAAGCUUGUUGUUUGAAAAUCCAUGAAUUAAGUCUUGUCUUUAGGGCAAGAGUUAUAGAACAUCUCAUUAAUCAAGACACAGUGUAGUAGUGUGACUUGCCAAUGGAUCUUAACUUAUUUUUUGGGGAGGUUCUUGAGCUAAGACUUGUUUUAGUGGCAAGACUAAUAGAGCAUCCAUAAACCAAGACACAAUGUAAUAGUGUCAAUUCUUGCCCAUGGGGCGUAACUUGUUGUAUGAAAGUUCCCGGGCUAAGUUUUGCCUCUAAGAGAAGAUUUAUAGAACGUCUCAUAAAUCAAAACACAAUGUGGUAGUGUCAACUCUUGCCCAUAGAGCGUAACUUGUUGUUUGAAAGUCCUUGGACUAAGUCAUGCCUCUAAGGUAAGAGUUAUAGAACAUCUCGUGAAUCAAGACAUAAUGAAAUAGUGUCAACUCUUACCAUGAGACAUAACUUGAUGUUUGAAAGUUCUUGAUUUAUAGAACAUCUCAUAAAUCAAGACACAAUAUGGUAGUGUCAACUCUUGCUCAUAAGGCAUAACUUAUUAUUUAAAAGUCUUUAGUUAAGUAUGGUCUCUAAGACAAGAGUUAUAGAACAUCUUAUAAAUCAAAACUCUUACCUAUAGGGCGUAACUAUAUAAGAUGCGCAUAAAAAUUGUAUCAUUUUUGUAUGAAAAAUGUAUAUCUAUCAUUGACUUUUUAAAAAAAAUUAAAAUUCUACUCUACAAUUAUUGUUCUUUUAGUCUGUGAUGCCUUUUUUUUUUCUAAAAAAAGGUUGAAAAUAUGUAUUGAUUUCUUUUUUCUUUUUAGUGGUUUUUGGAAAAAUAUUAUUUUAAUAUUUAAUUGAUAAGAAAGAGCAACAAUCAAAGAGUAGAUUUUUUUUUUUGGUUAAAAAAAGGAGUCACAAAGAAAAGGCAUAAAAAGAUGCAGUUAAAGAAGUUUGGAAGAAAAAUAGUAGCUUAAACAUAGGAAAAAAAACUUAUUACCCAAAAAAAAAAAGGAAAAAAAAAUAAUUCUCUUUCUCUUAUAUAAUAAGAGACAGUUGAGGAGCUUCCUGUCGUCUCCCUUGCGGACAUUCACCUGCUUACUUCGUAAUUUUACUAUAUCACUCCUAAUUAAUUAUUAUAAGUCGUUUAAAUAUUAAAAGUUAAUAAUUGUAGACACGUAAUUUUUUACCCUUCCGUAGCUUUUAUCUUUUUUUAGUACAAAAAUUUAUUUUUUGUCUAAUGUUUAUUUUAACUUUGAUUUUUAUUUUUAUAGGUUUUAUUUGAAAAAUAAAUAAAUAAAAUCACAUUUUGGAAAUUUUUUUUAUUGUUUUUAGAAUAAUACGAAAAAUGUUAAAAAUGUAUUUUUCUUUUAAUUUUAAUAAAUAGGAUAGUAGUUUUAGUAUUAUCUUAAUUAUAUUAUUUUAGGCUAUUUAUAAUUUUUCGUUGUAUUUUUCUUAAAUAUGAAAAUUAAUUAGCAAAUCUACUUUUAUUAUUAUUAUUAUUUUUAUUUUUAUUAUUUUAUAUAUUUUAAAUUUUAAAAAAAAAAGAAUCCUUAUCCACUCCCAACCUCCCUAUCUAUCUACAACCCACUCUCCCUCAACUGCCCCCACAUCCCUCUUUUAAGGGGUAACUUCUCAAACUCCCCGAAAUACGUACAUCAUACAGAGAGAAAGAAAAUAUUAUCACACUAACAUAGAGUAGAAAAAGGAACAAACAGAAAAACACUGACAGAGAGAGAAAAAAAAACAUACAUUAAAAGAGAGAUAUCAGAAGGAAAAAAGGGCAGAGAGAAGAAAAAAGCAGUAGAAGUAAGAAGGAGAAAAAAAAAGUAAAGAGGGACGACUUGAGUUUUAAAUUGAGUUUCGUAUUUUCGUUCGCGUUUUCGAUAAUAGCGUUUUGUUCUUGUAGUCAAGUAAAAUUGUCACACAGGUUCUUAUUUGAUUCUGUGCUUUUUAUUUUACGAAGUUUGUUGCAAAUUACAUCAUAAAUAAAGUCAUUUAGUGAUUUUCUUAGAUUAUUAAGUAUGUGUGAUUGUUGUAGUGCCAUGUUUAUUUGUAUGACUAUUCAAAUUAAUGUUUGUCGGUUGUUGAUUAUUCAUUAAACCUGAUUCCAAAUGUUGAGAUAUUCCUCUAGAGUAUAAGAUGACUUGGUUUCAAAGAACAUAAAAUAGAAGAGAAAGAGGAAAAGGAAAAAUAGUCACACACAAAAUACACUGCAUACACCAUUUACACAAGCUUACAGAAUUCAUCUUCUCCAUUCACUCAAUAGACACACCUCACCCAAAAAUUCAUGCACAUAGAAUAAAAUUAUUGACGGAAAGCCAGUAAAGAAAAAUCUGAUAAGAAGAGACAAAGUUAGAGAGAGAGAGAGAUUGAGAGAAAUAAAUAGGAAGAGAAAAAUAAGGUUUAGGGCCCAGAUUUUCUGGCGACAUAGCAGCAAAACAUCAUCGAAAAACGAUCGAAAAACACCCUCUAGUUAAUCCUUUGUAAAUGUUCCAGCGAAAUCGUCACCAAAAUUUUGCUAAAAGCGUCGACCAGUUUGAAAUUGGUAGAGACUUAAAAUCAAUAACCGAAAUCGACCUUCCAUCGAUAUACAUCAGAAAAUCAUCAAAUCCGACCCUAUGGUAGACUCCGGAGAUAACACACCAGAAAAUCGCCAAGGCGCAGUCCAACCGACCCUUUUUCGAUGAAUGUCCACUGAAAUACCCCUUUUUUCAGCCGACCAACCCACCGCCGGUUUUGACUCGAAACCUCUUUACCACUAGCGAAACUCACCGGUAAUCCACCUAUCCUGUCCCUUUUUUUCGUCACCAGGACCGGCGAUGCCGGCUACCAAUAAUAACUUCAGCACUGUCCCCUCUCCCCUCUAUUCACUGGCCACCAAAACCAGUGGGACAACGACCCCUAACCCCCCUACCCCCUUUCUCUCUUCAUUGGCCACCGAUGGUAAGUCUACGACAGUGAAUUUUUGUGUUGGUGUGAAAUUUAUCUUGUAAGAAUUGGCACCACCAUUUAGGGAGAUUCUUGAAAAGGGUGUUGAUGAAAACUUGUGAUUUGGGAGAAGGGGAUGAUUUCUUAACCCCAAAAGCAAUUGCCAAUCGAAGAAAAACAAAGGGUUUCGAGUUUUGCAAUUUCUGUUUUAGUUUGCUCAGUAUUUUGGCAGAUUUUUGUUCAGAUAAAUUAUGAGAGCCUCGUGUUUGUGGAUCUCCUAGUGCUUCGGGGUUUGCAGUAAUUUAAAGAAAAUGAUUUUGGAAGAUCAUAAUAAAAUUAGUAUAAUAUGAUUAAUUUUUUUUAUGUAUUUGUAUUAUUUUAUUAUUAUUUUAUUUUAUUUCUAUUUUAUUAUCAUUAAUAAAUCUUGAUAAUUGUUUUGUUAAAUUAAUUAAUCGCUUUAAAUGAAUUUUGUUCAAGUUAAUGUUAAAGUAAGGUGAAAUUUCGAGUAGGCAAGCUUUUGAACGUUAGGCAAAUAUAGGAUAAAUAAAUCUUGUCUCGAUUAAGAAUGCGGCGUACGCAUCUUUUUGAUAUAUUUUAAAAAUAAUUCAAGGAUGCAAUAGUGCACCUUGGCAAAUAUUUUAAAAAAAUAAUUUUCCACCAAUUUAAUACAAGGGUUAAAAAUAAUUUUAGUAUAAUAAAAGUGAGCGAACCUAGGCCUUAAAAUAACAGUGUAAGUCAAGAUAAGUCAAUAAAAGAGACCGUGCUAGAACCAUGACACUCGAGGGGUGCCUCAUAUCUUCCCCCCGGUCAAUAGAAUUUCUUAUCCGGUCUUCUGUUUUUGCAGACCAUAAUAAAGAAUUUUUUUUAUUUGAUUAGGGAUUCCAAAAGGUGACUUGGAAAACCAUAACUCAAUUCCAAGUGGCGACUCUGAAAAUAAAUAAUAUAAUCUCUAUUUCAAAACUAUCACUUUAAUUGAGAAAACCCUUCGAGCCUCUGGGCAAAAAAGGGGUGUGACAUCUCCGAUGAUUCUGCUAGGGAACGAACCAGAAUUCGAACUUUGGAUAUUGACUUUUACUUGCUUUAGUUAUUGUUUAUAUUGUGUUUGUUGGACUAAUGUGCUACUUGUCUCUCAUUUAUUGCUUUGAUAUUGUUGAACUGUAUUAUAAAUUAUCUUUUCUCACGCACCUGUCUGAGUCUAUGAAAAUAUGAUAGAAGGAAUACAUAGUAUGCAUCCUAUCUUCUUUUUGAGAUAGCUGGAGUGUCAAGGCACCUGGUGAAAUAUUAUUAGUCACACAUGUUAGGCGGGGUUUGGAUCCACAAUGAGGGUAGAGUAGCACUGCUACCGAACAAGUUGUCUAUUCCCAACUUGAGUGUCCGCUCAAGUAAGCCAGUCUAGACACAUAUCUCUAUUAAGCUAAACUUAGUAGAACUGAAACUCAGAAUCUAGUUAUCCCUAUUAGGUUUCUCUUUAUUUACAUCAUGUGCAUUUUACUUAGCGAGACUCGGCACAGGGGUCAGGUCUGUCUAAGACAGGUGUCCCUUUUUAUAAUGACCAACAUGUGCAUCCUACGUUCUCUUUGACAUUUAUUUGGAAGGUCAUUUGAUUGUUGAACGACUUUAAGCAACUUGGUAAAACGCAAGAGAGUAUUUUAUCCUCAAAUUUAACAAAUCAUUUUUCAAAGAAAUUAAAAAAUUCAUAUACUUUUUAAGGUCUUCAUGAACUCCGAGGGUAUGAUUCUCACUCUUUAGUGAGAUACAUAGGAAAUCCUUCCCAGGAUAUGACCAUGUCUUUUAAAAAUUAUUCACAAAUUUAUUUAGGGAUAUUUUUGAAAAAAAAAAUGAAUGAAAAAAUGACUAUUUUCAUUAGUAUUAUUAUUUUAUCUUAGUUUUCUCCUUUUUUUUUCUUAUUCUCAAAUUUAAUUUUAAUACAUAUCUUAAUAGCCCUGAACCUUUAGGGGUCGUGAGCUAAGUUUUGAUAAAUUAAUAAAACAUGUAAAUACAUAGUUUAAUAGUCCUGAACCUUUAGGGGUUGUGAGGAUGAGUUUUUCACAACAUCGUAUACAAAAUAAUUAUUUUCUUUUCGUUUCUUUCCUUCUCUCUAAGUUGUUAUUAUUUUUAUUUUUCUAGUGUAUUUAGUUGUAUUUUCUCUCAAACUCAUAGUUGAAAUUGUAUACGGGUCUGUCAUUUCAAAAUUUUCAGUAGAGUUGGUCUAAAAAGUGUCACCCCUUAAAAGAAAUGUUGAAGUUCAUAUUUCUCUCACUUCUUAUUUUGAAUAAAAUUAUUUUUGAAUCUGAGUCAAAUUUAAUAGUUGGAUUAACUCUCACGAGUCAAACUAAAAAGUUCAAAAAUAGUGAAUUAAGUUCUGCCUAGAUUCUAGACAUUUCCUAAUCUUGUGUCUCUAUCUGUAGGUAUAACAUGUCUCCUCCAAUUGAUGGAAAGUGUCAAAAAAGAAAAAGAAAUAGGAAUAUACCACUAUAGGCUGUAGACUGUACCCCUUGGAAACUCUGGACAUGGUGGAACAAGAUGGAUUCAUUUGAUCAUGGUGAUAUAUAUAAGUAUUUGGGUUAUUUGACAUGCAUCAUGACAAUCAACCCUAGCAGGAAGGUGGUUGAUGUACUGCUGACUUUCUGGGAUCCGAUGAACAAUGUAUUUCGUUUCUCGAAUUUUGAGUUGACUCCGACUUUAAAGGAGAUAGUGGCUUCUAUUGGAUUUAGGGAUAUGCAUUGAAAAAGAAUUAUAGCCUCGAGACUCAUCUCGAUAAAUAGAUUCUGUAAGCUUAUGAACAUACGGAACUCAAAAAAAGAAUCAAUGGAAAAAGGUUGGGUCUCCUUACAGUUUUUGUAUGAAAUAUAUGAAAGACAAGAGGGGUUUGAGCAGCUCGGUAAACAACUCUACAACAAAAGAAGUUUUGAAGCCUGGAAAGUGCAUGGACGAUUUGCUUUCAUGGUAGUAUUUUUAGGAACUAUGGUAUUCCCUAGGAGAGAGAGAAAAAAUAAUAUUCACUUAGUUGGAGUGGUACAUGUAUUGAUCAAGAAAAAGGAUUACACUAUGGUACCAAUGAUCUUGGCUGACAUAUACCGUGCUUUAACUGUUUGUCAGAAAGGGAAGGGCUUCUUCAAAGGAUGUAAUAUCUUGCUACAAAUGUGGAUUGUUGAGCAUCUUUAUCAACAUCCUAAGAUGUCAAGAUUUUUUCCUGAACGAGUUGAUCACAUCAAAGAUUAUGAUUUAAGGAUGGAGAAAUAUAAAUGUCCAGAAGGAGUUAGUGAUUGGGAUAAGCUUUUUCGCUCACUGAUGGCAGAUAAGAUUACUUGGAAUCUCUCUUGGUUCCUUGGUGAUAGCCUAAAUACUAUCAAAAACACAAAAAUGGUACUAGAUAGCAAAAAUCAGCAAACACACAAAAGGAAAAAACAACACACAUAGAAGAAAAGAGAUGAAGAAGAGAUGCAUAAAGUAAAGAUAGUAGAGAGACCCCCACUUCCACCAAUGAAUAGCAAUAGAAGGUGUAUCAAACCUUCAAACACACAUCACCAAUGUAAGAUCAAACCACUAUUUUAGGUGACCCAAAGAACUCACAUUUCCUCAAGCACACCUUGCUUGCCAAAUAACCCAAUACAAGUGAAAAACCAAUUCCAAAUGUAUUCAAGGUCCAAGUUUCGAUUUUUCUCUCUUAAGGAGAAGGAGAAGACUACAAUAUAACACUAAGAUUACAAUCUAAAAAGUCACUCAAUCCAUUAUGUCAAAACUAAUGAAAAUAGAAGGCUACUUGUCUAUUUAUAAUAUUACAUGACAAAUGUCAAAAAUGCCCUUAAUGGGGGAUAGGCAAAGGGUGCCUCUUGAGUGUUGAAAUAUAAGGUAUAAAGUCAAAUUUUCCCUUCACUUGAGGCGCCUCUUGAGUGAAACAACCCCUUCUCCUUUCUCCUCAAAUUUAGAUCUUUCAAAACCCAAGAGAGAGAAAAACAAACACACAAUCCUCUUGGUAGGAGGGUUAGCAUUAACAACACAAUUAUAUCAUUACUCCAAGGUGGUUCACACUUAACAUGCAUCUAUGUAUCCUUGGUAUUUGGAAUGAAAAGCUUGGCAUAAAGGAUACAAAUGAAUUGAAUGGCAUCGACAUCAAAAGUAAUUGAGCAUGACCCAAAACUACAACUUUCACAUCUCAAAAGUAUUUCGGGGUCAAAGGGAAAUAGUAAGCAAGGGUCUAGGUCGUGGUUAAACAUCCCUUGCACUAGAUUAUCAUGCCAAGGGGGUACAUAGUUGACAUACAACUAGAAAUCCCUUGUUUUGUCCAUGAAACAAUUAGUAUAUGCAUCACAAAGGAUAGGUCUAAGGUAAAUAUCAAGGGAAAAAAAGCACAAUCCAAAACAAUCCCUUCCCCACCCCACUAGUACACCGGGAUCAAAUGGGUAAAGUGGCUAAGGGAAUAAUCCGUAGCUACUCAUUCCAUUUAUUAGGGUAUCACACUCACCCAAAGCAUUUGUUCUUAAGGGAAGACUAACACACAAGGAUAAGGACCUACGGCUUAGUAGGCCUCCCUUAACAAUAUACAUUUCAUCAUCCGCAAUCUCUACAUACACCUGAUCACCAAAAACACAAUUAAUAGCAAGGUUCUCACCACACAAAAAGUUCAAGGGACCAUAUUUAUUAUCAUGAUCAACAUUAUAAACAUCAAUACUAACUUGAGGUUUUUCAAUCCCAUAAUUCCCAUAUUCAAGUAGUAAACUAGUUUUAAGAGCAAGUUGAUCAUUAUUCACAACAAAAGAGUUACUAAGGAACGAGGUGUGCACUUGCAAACCCAAAACCACAUCACUAGACACUAAAUCACAAUAUUUUGAGUUCAAAGAAGUGUUGAGUGUAGCAAAGUCACCUUAGGUAAGGCUUGGGAAGUCCGCUUUUUUGGAGCUCUCGGUCAAGGGAGUCUCUAGUUUAAUUCUCAUGCUUUCAUGUGGAACUUCUUUUGGAUCCUUUUUGGUUAUCAUAGCAUCUUGUACCUGCACAUAAUAAGAAUCAAUGCUAGGCAAAGUGCUAGCAUUCGGGUUAGUGGAUAACAAGGGUUCUUUGGGAACAAAAUCCACAAUCAAGUGUUCUUUUUUUCUUUUAAUUUCACUACCCGUGGCUUCUCUUUCCUUUCCUCUCCUUUCUUCACAUCCUCAUUGUACCUCACUAUUCAUUUUCUCUCAAUUUUGAGGCUUAUCCUCACUCUCCUUGGGCUUUAACUUUCCCUCAUAUUCUACUUGGAUGGAGGGGUCUCGGUUUAGUGUAAUUUGGAGAAGAGGUAUCGAUUUUGGUUGAGGAUGGAUUUAGGUUGGUGGCUUCGUAUUUGGGGAAGUGUAGAAUCUUUGGUUUUGAGGGAUUUGAACUUGUGGUGGUUUUGGUGGACAUAGUCUAUCAAUCCCCGCUUUCAUUUUAAUCAUGUCACCCCUCAUAUCAUCCAUAUCACCCUUCAUAGCAUCAUGAUUAUCCUCUAUUUUUGGGGAAAAGGCCUCAAACCGAGCCAUCAAGGCUCCUAUAGCAUCAUUUCCCAAAGGUUGGAAAGUAGUCCCUUCGGAUUCCAUGGCAAUGUUACCUAACAAAAGCCAAAAAACAUCAAAGAAAAACCUACAAAACGAACAAACAAGUUAGUUCAAAAGCCUCAACCUCACCUCACGCUUAGCUUCACAAGUGUUGGAUAAUUGGCAACACUUGGCAAGUUACUUGAGUGGUGAGAAAUUUUGGUCCAAAAUCGAUCUUUGUUUAAAAUGACUCAAAUAAAGUGAUGUACGAACUUGAACCAACAAAACACUACGAAUAAAAAAUGAGAAAAGGCACACAAAUUGAAGACACGAAAUAAAUGGACCCAAGACCAAUUAUCAACCUAGUAGGUAGUUACUAGUUUGUUAAUUAGUAAUAGAGUUUAACACACAAGAAUCUAGAAUCAAAAAGAAGAAACUAAGAAAUCUAUUUUAGAGCUUAAUUGGGUUGAUCAACUAGUGAUGAUGUGGCACAAUGUGGUUGGUUAUCAAUUUGCAAAUUUUUUUUGACAUUCCAAUUUUGAGUUUCGGCCAAAGAUCCACUUAGGAGAGUGUUUUGCAUGAAAUUUGGGAGAAAAUGGUGGGUUGGAGCCUUUUUCUCAAGUUCAAAUGGAUUUGAGUUCAAUGGUUCCCCCCUACUUGUACUUUCAAUUGUACUUUGUUGUCCCCUUGUCCCGUCUUCUUUUUGGAAGACUUGAAUAUUCUUGGAAUAUGAUUUUGGACAAACAACUUUUUCACUCUCCCUCUUUAUUUUUGUGGAUCUAACACUCUUUUUGAAUAUUCUUCUUCAACAAUACAUGAAGAUGGUGAAGAACAAUAUGAAUAUUCAAGAGUUGACCGAAGUUUGACUAUAAGGCAAAUGAACCCAAACUUUAAUUUUUCUUUUAGAUCUAGGUUCCUUGGGUCAAGGCAAGCUCAAAUAUCUACAAACCAUCCACAACACUCCACAAAAAGAUGUUCACCAUGAUAUCCACCUAAAAAAGCUUCAAACAAGGCACAACAAUGGUGGAUCUAACUUAAAUUCAACCAAACCUUGCUCCAAACUUAGAUCUAGACUCCCUAUAUGCUAGAGAGAAAGGAUCUAGCACUAGAAACCUUCAAAACACAAUAAAAACUUGUAGAUCUAACUUGAAAAUUUUGGAUCUACAACAAACACACAAGACAACACCCUUUUUUUUGUAUUUUCGGAUUUUUUAUUCUUUUUUGUUGAGAUUUUCUUAAUAAUAACACUAAAACCAAGAUUUAGGGAUGUUGGAACAACCCAAAACAAGGCUCUGAUACCAAAUGAUAGCCUAAAGACUAUCAAAAACACGAAAAUAGUACUAGAUAGCAAAAAUCAGCAAACACAUAAAAGGAAAAACAACACACAUAGCAGAAAAGAGAUGAGAAGAGAUGCAUAAAGUAAAGAUAGUAGAGAGACCCUCACUUCCACCAAUGAAUAGCACUAGAAGGUGUAUCAAACCUUCAAACACACAUCACCAAUAUAAUAUCAAACCACUCUCUUAGGUGACCCAAAGGACUCACACUUCCUCAAGCACACCUUUAUUGCCAAAUAACCCAAUACAAGUGAAAAACCAAUUCCAAAUGUAUUCAAGGUCCAAGUUUUGAUUUUCCUCUCUUAAGGAGAAGGAGAAGACUACAAUCUAACACUAAGAUUACAAUCUAAAAAGUCACUCAAUUCAUUAUAUCAAAACUAAUGAAAAUAGAAGGCUACUUGUCUAUUUAUACUAUUACAUAACAAAUGUCAAAAAUGCCCUUAAUGAGGGAUAGGCAAAGGGUGCCUUUUGAGUGUUGAAAUAUAGGGUAUAAAGUCAACUUUGCCCUUCACUUGAGGCACCUCUUGAGUGUAACAACCUCUCUUCCUUUCUCCUCUUGACCAAGGCUUCAAAAUGCUCCAAAAGGGUCUUUAAUUGCUUGCCAAUUCCGAAGCUUGAACCUUGGACAAUGUCUUGUGCUCUUGUAGCUACUUGUGCUUGUUUCACUUGGAGGCAGAUCAUACAUAGUUUUAUUGUUCGGACUUUCUUGUUAUUGAUGGUUAUUAGGGGUGUUCAACCAUAUAUGCCAUUGAGAGUUUUACAUCAACUAGGCAGACGUCAAAUAAUUCCCAUAACAGAAAAUAUGAAAGAGUUUGUGUUUGAAGUCAGAUUAGAGAUUCCCCUUCUAGAGGGAUUGGCACAAUAAAGUUGGGAUGGUUAUUGUAUUAUGGGGAUUAAAAUAAUGGUCAUAAAAUAUGAGAAAUGAGAAGUAUACCCAGACUACUAUGAAUAGUUUGAGAAACAACCACCUCCACCAGUCAGACCAGAAAGAUCGAUUAAGGGACCCAUAGAUCAAGAGACUGCAAUAAGGAUAGGGAUUGAGAUGGAUAUAUGAUAACAUAAUGAUGUCAAUCAAGCUUUGAGAGCGGAGUUGGAGUGCGCUAUGACAACUUUGACUAAACUACAAGCAGAUAAAGAUGCAAAAAAUAAGGCAAAAGUUAAGCAAGCAUGAUUGGAGGUAGAGAGAAAUUAUUAGUCCACUAUUCAGGUGCUAAAUGCUGAUUUAGAAUGAGCUAGGGAAAGAAUAGAAGAAUAACAGAGGGAAUUUGAUGAGGAAAAAGCUAAGUCGGCAAACAUUGAGGUUGCACUUCGAGGACAAAUUAAGUUGGUCACAACUAGGGACUGGUCGCAUCUCACCGCCAACAGUUAUAAUAAUUUGAAAUAAAGAAGCAAGAAGAAUUUAAUCAAGAUAGAUCUUAGUGGAUACAUUAAAGAGGGAUACUACGAGUACAACUUGAGGUAGCUUCUGCUCGAGAGCAAUGUGCAAAAGAGAUAAUUGACUCUCGUGAUCAACUGGCCCAAGAAUGGGAUCAGGACUUUAGUUUUCUUCGAGGGAAGGUCCAUCAUGUGGCAUAGGAUACCGCUAGAAUGGAUUUGGACUACCAAUAGUUGAAUCGAGGACAAUUUCUAGUACAAGUGCCAGCUUUUGGCCAAUGUCUUACCACUUUAUUGGAAGACAUAUACUUGGGUUUGGGAGGUCAUAUAAAUCCAAAAUCUCCUUGAUUAAGCAUGUUUAAGUUAUGAGGAUCAGUUGAAGACCUUGAGACAACGGAGUUUAGUUGUAUGGAUGGAUAGUAUUUUCUUUUGUUGCAGUCUUUCAGUUUCAGUUUUAGAACUUCUUAUCUAGAUUUUUGUCUUUUAUUUAAUCUUAUUUGUUUAAAUUUAGUUUUGUUUGUCAGAUGUCAGUUGGUAGGUUUUCUUUUAGGAGUUGUGUCACUUGUUCUGUCGUAAUUGUAUUAGGAAAUAAUGGAAUGUAGUGAAGUUGGCCGUUUAGUUCUAUAUAUAUUACAUAUGUUUUACUUCACUUUAUUUAUUUUUUUAAAACAAUCAUCAAUUAUUUUUGUUAAGUUUUCCCGAACUAUGCAAGAUCUGAUUCAUGUUCUGUCAUGAUACUUAGGCAACCCUCCAAAGGGUUUGAUAAAAACUUUUCAAAAAGUGUGCCUAGAAAAGCUGGGAUAAAACACAAGGCCUUCAAUAAUAGGCUGGGAAAUGCAUAUAGAGACAGAACAUACAACGUGUCAUUAUAAUAUGUUAAAUAUGUAAUACUUACCUGUUUGCUACUUGAUUUAGAGAAAAGAUAAAGUAGUUCGUGAUUGGUUUAUAGUUUAAACUGGCAUCUCAUCCGUACAACACAAGAUACAAAGAAAAUAGGAAGAUGACCUACAAAAAGGUUGUAGAGUCUGACAGUAAGGAAAAUCAAAAUAUGUUGAUUUCACAGGAGUUUGCAUCCAUGAAGAAGAAUAAGUUAUUGAAACAAUAAAUAGUGGAGAUGUAUCAAGCUUGGAUGAAUAGACAAGCCCCAUCUUCCUCAAUUCCUGAACUUUCGAAUAUGAAUAAUCCAAAUCCCGCUCAAGCCCAAACUGCGAUCCAUUUUAUCCACCUAGAUUUGGCCCAUAUGCUAAUAUAUUUGGCGCUCCUAGUAAUUCUAUGAUGUGCCUACCAAAUCUAUCUAUCAUAAAUAUCCUACUUUUAACACCCGUAGCAUCAGCUAAUGCGGGUCCUCAAUCGAUAUUAUGGAAGACUAUGGGUAAACCAAGUCAUGAUCAAUUAUAUCUUCCUGAAGUGACUUUCAAACCCUCAAAUUCAUAUUACCCCACUCAUCAACAUAGUUCUUCUAUUAUGAUUAAAAAGACUGUUAAGAAUGAGGAACAAAAAGAAAUGGCGAGGAAGGUGAGAAGUUUGGAGCAGAAUAUGAAGAAUAUGCAAGGAAUAAGAGGACAAAAAGUUUUCAUACAAACAUUUAUGUAUGUUCCCUGAUGUCCACUUACUGCUAAGAUUAAACUCCUAAGUUUGACAAAUACGAAGGCCAUGGCUAUCUCGUGGCUCAUUUGAAAAGGUUAUGUAAUCAAUUGAGGGGAGAAGGGGAAAAGAAGAACUGUUGAUGGCUACUUUGGAAAAAGUCUGACAGGGAUAACUUCAGAAUAGUUCAUCGACCAAGAUACUUAACUUCAGAAUAGUCAUCGACCAAGAUACUUCUCAUUGGCACAUUUGGGAUGACAUGGCUCCAAAUUUUGUUCAGUAAUUUUAAUAUGAUAUUGGCAUAGUGCCAGAUCGCACCACACUUGCCAACAUAGGAAAAAAGACAAUUGAAACUCUUCGAGAAUAUGCUGUUAGAUGGAGGAAGUAAGUUGCAAGAGUCAGGCUAUCAAUAAAGGAGUCUGAGAUGAUUGAUAUUUUUCUACAGGCGCAGGAGCCUGAUUAUUUUUAUCAUUUGUUUUCUACUAUUUGAAGUACAUUUGCUGAGGUCAUUAAGGUCGGAGAAAUGGUAGAAAAUGGAAUUAGGUCUUGAAAAAUCAUAAGUUAAGCUGCUUGGAAAGCAACAACACAGGCAAUUCAAAAUAGUUUAAAAAGUUUUGGUUGGAAGAAAAGAAAGAAGGAUGUAGCUACUGUUGUGCCAAGUCCAUGACAAGAUUUGAGAGGUGCACAUCAACCAUACGCACAAUCUCAAUCUCAGAUUUAUGUCUAAUAUCCAUAUAAUCAUCCACGAUACUAUGCUCCUCCCAAAAAUCUAUUAUAUUAUAUUCCAUCCCCUUAGUAUCCUAUCUAUAAUGCACAACCAUAUGCUCGAACUCCUUCUUACCCGCAAUGGCGUGCUCCAACCAUUUAGAAUCAUCCUACUAUCCCCCAAGUCCAACAAGCUCCCCCUAAAUUAAAUUUUCAGCCCAGAGCAGAUUAAAAGAAGGCUGAUAUAUGCAAAGAUAAUUUCUCUAUCUUAUGCCAGCUUAUUGCAGAGACUGAGGGACAUAAAUUUUCUAAGCCCAAUUGAGAGAAUGAUCGUGAUUCCUCCUCUGAAAAACUUAGAUUAUUCUAGAAGAUGUGCAUACUAUUUUGAUGCCCCAGGGCACGACACAGAAAAAUUUCAUACUUGAAAAGAGCAAUUCAAGAGCUGAUUGACUCAUAAUAAAUUAUGGUGCUGAGUCUAGAUGCUCCAAACAUUAAUCAGACUCUACUAUUGACUCAUACUAAAACAAAUAUGUUUGAGUUGAUACCUAGUGGCGAAGAGGCUACAAUUUUCUUUAAGCCUAUCAUUAAGAUCAAAAUUGAUAUGGAAAAGUCAGCAAAUAUUAUGGAUUUGACGAAAGCAAGACCUGCAGAAGUAGAGAAGGUAGUAACAAACCAAACCAUUGAAUACUUCUUUGGUUAUGGGGAAAGAAACUUUAGAAAGUGUUGGGUCAGGUCAGAUAAAACGAAAGCUUUUUAUUCUCGAAAGGCCCACCAAGCCUAUCUUAAUUGUAAAAGGAGAUCCCAUAACUCUAAUUAUGAUUAAAUCGGUGUCAUAACUUUCUAUGGUUAAUACUAAGACAGUCUUUUGGUACUAUAAUCCCAUUAUGGUGACAUACAAAGGGAAGAAAGUUAUUGAAGAAGUGGAUGGAGUAGGAGGAUUAACCUGUUUAGGGAGGUGUUAUGCUUCAUAAGAGUUAAAGAAGUCUAAACAAGGCAAUAAAGACUGAAUUCCAAUCAAGAAACCAGUUACCGAAGAAGAGGCUGAAGAAUUUCUAAAAAAUAUAAAAUUGUCGAAAUAUUUUGUUGUGGAAUAAUUGAGGAAGAUGCUAGCCCAAAUCUCUCUGUUUCUUUACUGAUACAUUCGAAUGAUCAUCGCAAAUCUAUAAUGAAGAUUUUGAAUGAGGCACAUGUGACCAGUGAGAUUAAGGUGACCAAUUGGAGAAAAUUGUUGGUAGAAUCUUUGAGGUAAAUAGGAUUACUUUCUUAGAUGAUGAAUUACACGCAAAAGGUACUGGACAUAAUUGAGGCCUCUAUAUUACUAUAAAGUAUAAGCAUUUCUAUGUCACUCGAGUAUUGAUUGAUGGAGUAUCUAGUGCUAAUAUGUUUCCUAUGUCAACUUUGCAAAAGUUAAAUGUUAACGUGGAGAGGAUCCGACCUAUUAAUGUAUGCGUCAGAGGAUUUGACGGAGCAAAAAAUGGAUGCCAUUAGUGAGAUAGAGCUUAUACUGACAAUAGGUCCUGUGGAGUUUGCUAUGGAUUUCCAAGUACUAAACAUCGAUGCUUCAUAUAAUAUGUUAUUGGGAAGGCCAUGGGUUCAUAGAGCUGGGGCAGUCGCAUCUACGUUACACCAAAUGGUUAUGUUUGAAAAUGAUAGACAAGAAAUAGUUAUUCAUGGUGAAGGGGAUUUGUCCAUGUAUAAAGAUUAUUUAGUUUCAUCCAUUGAGGCUGACAAUGUAGAUAGAGCACCAAUUUAUCAAAUUUUUGAGGCAGUGGAUGUUGAGCAUAUCCCCGAGGGGAAUCUCAUUGCAAAACCACAAUUGUCCUCUCCAUCUGUUAUGGUAGUGAACGAAAUGUUAAAGCAUGGUUUUGAACCAGGAAAAGGUCUAGAGAUGUCUUUACAAGUCAGGGCUCAUCCAAUCUAUCUCCAUGAGAGUUUUGGUACCUUUGGUUUGGAAUACGAGCCUACUUUUGAGGAUAUAAAAAAGGUUAAGAAGUGUAAGAAAGAUUCAUGGUCACUUACUAAGCCAAUACCUCUACUCAAUGAGUUUUUCAUCAAAGUCAGUGUUGUUGGGUCCUCUAUAUUACCUGCCGCAAAAAUCAAUGAAUGAUGAUGAUACAGAGUUGAUCGUCCUCUUUCAGAAUAUGUUAAUUGAAGCUAAUAUGGUUGAAAUUGGAAAAGGUACCAGUAAUGCAGAUUUGUAGUUUAUCGGCCCUGAUGUUCAGCUUAACAAUUGGGAGGCCACUCCUCUCCCUACUACAAAGGAGUCUUGGUAAUUUGUUUGUUUGUCUUUCUACAAUUUAAAUUAUUCUGGGGUUGUAAUUCAGAUAUUUAUCUUGUUGUUUUUCUUAAGAUUAAAACUCUUCUAUCUUUGUUUUUAAUGAAAUGUAGUUUCCCUUUAUUUUAUUUUGAGUCUAAUAUUUAUUUUCUAUUAUACAGUUCUUUCUAUGCCGAUUCUAGUGAUAUACAUGCAUGAAGAAUUGUCAACCAAACCUUAAAACUCAAUCUAAUUAUGAAAUAAUGAAUAAAAAAGAUUUCAAACAAUUUGAGAAUAAGUUAAACCCCAAUAUAGAUGAAACUGAAGCAAUCAAUCUAAGGGAUUAUGAACUUAUUAGGGAAACAAAGAUAAGUGUACAUGCUCAAUCACAACAAAAGAAAGAUAUAAUUAAAGCUUUGCUUGAUUACAAGGAUAUCUUUGCAUGGUCUUAUGGUAACAUGCAUGAUUUGAGCAUUGAUUUGGUAGUUCAUAAGUUGCCAAUUGAUCCUGCUUUCCCUCCCGUCAAGCAAAAAUUAAGAAAGCUUAAAACUGACAUGAGUGUAAAAAUCAAAGAGGAAAUCACAAAGAAAAUUGAGGCUAAAGUCAUUCGAGUGGAAUAAUAUCAUACUUGGUUAGCCAAUAUUGUCCUUGUACCCAAGAAAGAUGGCAAAGUUUGGAUGUGUGUUGAUUAUUGUGAUCUAAUAAAGCAAGUCCAAAAGAUGAUUUUCCACUUUCCAAUAUCCAUAUUUUGUUGGAAAAUUGUGCCAAACAUGAGCUUUCAUCUUUUGUGGAUUAUUACGCGGGGUAUCACCAAAUCAUUAUGGACCUAGAAGAUGCAAAAAAGACAUCAUUUAUCUCAUCAUAAGGGAUGUAUUAUUAUUAAGUCAUACUUGUCAGACUAAAAAAUAUUGGGGAAACUUACAUGAGGGCUAUGACCAUAAUAUUUCAUGACAUGAUGCACAAAGAGAUUGAAGUUUAUGUAGAUGAUAUGAUCAUUAAGUUAAAAAAGCAUUCCUACCAUGUCAAAGAUCUGAGGAAAUUCUUUGAAAGACUUUGCAAGUAUGAUCUCAAACUUAAUCCAGCACAAUGUGUAUUUGGAGUCCCACCUGGAAAGCUCUUUGGAUUUAUAGUCAGUAGGCGUGGUAUUGAGUUAGAUCCUUCAAAGAUAAAAUCUAUUCAAGAACUGCCUCCACCAAAGAACAAAAUGGAGGUUAUGAUCUUAAUUGGAAGGUUGAAUUACAUCAGUAGAUUCAUUGCCCAGCUCACAACAACCUGUGAGCCAAUCUUCAAGUUAUUGAAAAAGAAUGCUAAAUUUGAAUGGAAUAAUGAAUGUCAAGAGGCAUUUGACAAAGUCAAGAGGUACUUAUUGAAUCCACUUGUCUUGGUUGCACUAGAGCCAGGUAGACUUUUGAUAUUAUACAUAUCUACUUUAGAAAACUCUUUUGGGUGUGUGUUGGGUCAAGAUGAUGUCAUGGGAAGAAAAGAACAAUCUAUCUACUACCUUAGCAAAACCAUUUACGAGGCUAAGUACACUCUUCUUGAAAAGACAUAUUACGCCUUGACUUGGGUGGCACAAAAGCUGAAGUAUUCCCUUUCAUUUUACACUACUUACCUCAUUUUUCGUAUGGAUCCUUUAAUGUAUAUUUUUUAGAAGCCUAUGCCCACAGGCAGACUCGCGAAAUGGAAGAUACUGCUCAUAAGAUUUUAUACUGUCCAUGCGACACGAACUGCAAUAAAAACUCAAGCUUUAACAGAUCAUUUAGCUGAAAAUCCUAUUGAUGAGGGAUAAGAGCCAUUGAAGACUUAUUUUUCAGAUGAAGAGAUGUUGUGUGUUGAUAAGGUUAUUUUUAUGAUUACCAUUUAGGUUAAAAGUUAUUCUUUGAUGGAGCUUCUAAUGUAAAAGGAGUAGGGAUAGGAACAAUUCUUAUUUUUGAAUCGGGAUAGUAUUAUCCUGUAAUAGCCCAACUUCGAUUCUACUGUACCAAUAAUAUGGCGAAAUAUGAAGCUUGUAUUCUAGGUUUGAGGCUAGUUGUUGACAUGAGAAUCCAAGAACUAUUGGUGUUAGGAUACCUACACUUACUAGUCCAUCAGAUCCAAGGAGAUUGGGAGACUCGUGACACAAAGCUAAUACCAUAUUGAGGUUGUUUGCAAGAUCUUUGUCAACAAUUUAUAUCAGUAAAGUUCAAACAUAUUCCCAGAGUUCAUAAUGAGAUUGUUGAUGCUUUGGCGACUUUAUCUUUGAUGCUCCAAUAUCUUGACAAGACUCAUAUCGACCCCUUGCAUAUACAGAUCCGUGAUUAACAUGCAUAUUGCAAUGUAGUUGAGGAAGAACUUGAUGGGGAACCUUGGUUAUAUAAUAUCAAAGAAUAUAUUCAGGCUGGAAAAUACCGAAUACAUGUCGAUGGUAACCAAACGAUAACCAUUCAACGACUCGCUAAAGGAUUUUUCCUGAGUGAGGGAAUCUUGUAUAAGAGGACUCCAGAUUUGGGACUUUUAAGGUGCAUAGUAAGUGUAGGUCUCCUAACACCAAUAGUUCUUGGACGUUUAUGAAGUCCCAAAUCUAGAGUCCUCUUAUACAAGAUUCCCCCACUCAGGAAAAAUCCUCUAGUGAGUCGUCGAAUAGUUAUCAUUUGGUUACCGCAUAUGAACGGGACCCGUUCAUAUGCGGUCCCCAUGUACCCGCAUAUGAACGCGUAUGUUUUGGCAAAGAAAAUACUUCAGGCGGGUUACUAUUGGCUCACCAUGAGCGAGAUUCCAUCUGUUUCUUUCGUAAGUGUCAUGAAUGCCAAGUACAUGGGGACUUGAUACAUUCCCGUCUAUCUGAGCUGCAUAUAAUGAUUGCUUCAUAGCCUUUCGUAGCCUGGGGAAUUGAUGUAAUUAAACCAAUUGAACUGAAAGCGUCGAAUGGACAUAGGUUCAUCUUUGCGUUCAUUGAUUAUUUUACAAAGUGGGUGGAAGCAGUGACUUUUAAGUUAGUGACUAAGAAUGCAGUGGUUAAUUUUAUUCACUCUAACAUUAUUUGUCGGUUUGUCAUUCCAAAGAUAAUUAUCAUGGAUAAUGUUGCAAAAAUCAAUAGUCAUUUAAUGCAAGAAAUAUAUCACUAAUUUAAGAUUAUGCAUUGAAAUUCAACUCCUUAUCGCCCAAAGGAAAACGGGGUUGUGGAAGUUGCCAAAAAGAACCUAGAGAAAAUACUUUGCAAGAUGGUUCAAGGAUCCCGACAAUGGCAUAAACAGUUAUCUUUUGCUUUAUUGUGUUAUCGCACUACAGUUUGGACUUUAGUUAGCGCAACUCCUUACUCGUUGGUAUACAAAACUGAAGUAGUUAUACCUGCAGAGAUUGAGAUUCCAUCUCUUUAAGUAGUUGUGGAAGCCAAAAUUGAUGUGAUCAGUGGGUCCAAAUUUGAUUGGAGCAAUUAAGCCUGGUUGAUGAAAAAUGAUUAACGUCAGUAUGUCAUGGUAAAGAAAGUGUUACCCAAUGGUGCAUUAUAUCUGACUUAUAUAGAAGGCAAAAUAGAAGGAAUGUCGAUCAAUGCUGAUGCAGUCAAGCGAUAUUAUGUAUGAUAUUCAUGUAUAAUUAUGUAAUGUAUGUUUUGUACUUGCAUUUUAAAAGAUUGAAAUGAUGAAGGCAUUUUGUUCUACUAUCCAAAUAUUAUAUCAACCAUUGCUUAUCCCCUUUGAACUUUGAUUUGAUUUUUCUUUCAUAACCCUUUUUUGGAAUCAAUUAAAGUCAAAAGUUUUAAAAAAACUAAAAAAGAAAUGAAAAUCAAAAUCAAGCAAAAGAAUGACUUGCCUGAACUACAUUUGAUCUGAUUCUUGCUAUGACAAGAUACAUAGGCAACCCUACUCUGGGGUUCGGUCAAACCAAGUGAAAAUUCAAGUUACCCAAUAUGAAAUAAAACUUGGCCAAAAAUUAUUUUUCUUAAAAGUCUAUUCCAAAAGUUGUAUACAACAAAAACAACAACAAACCUAGUGUAUUCCCACAUAGUGAGGUAUGUGGAGGGUAAGAUGUACGCAAUCCAUACCUCUACCUCUAAAGAAGUAGAAAUGUUGUUUUCGAUAGACCCCCGGCUCGAGACAUGGAAUACUAAACAAAUUCAUAGUAAAGCAUGGAACAAGAUGGCAUAGCAUAAAUACGGCACCCACAAUUAAUAGUAAAUAGAGAAAAGUAACAGACUCGUAAUAAAGCAUGAAACAAGGUAUCAUAACAAGAAUAAUACCCUCACCAAGUAAUUUCCUACACUAGCGACCCAAACUGACCCUAGCCUUCUGCCCUAAUUCGCGUCUUCCAGAUCUUCCUAUCUAGGGUCAUGUCCUUAGUGAGCUGUAACUGCUCAAUGUCCUACCUAAUCACCUCUCCCCAGUACUCUUCGGCCUACCCCUACCCCGCCUAAAACCAUCCAAAGCUAGCCUCUCACACCUACGAACCGGGGCAUCCAUGCCCCUCCUCAUCACGUGUUCGAACCAUCUUAAUCAGACUUCUCGCAUCUUAUUCUCCACUGGAGUCACACCAACCUUCUCUCUGAUAGUCUUAUUCCAAACUCUAUCCCCCUAGUCAGCCCAUAUAUCCAACACAACAUCCGCAUUUCCGCCACCUUCAUUUUUUGAAUGUGGGAGUUCUUAACUGGCCAAUACUCCGCUUCAUACAACAUGGCCGGACGGACUGCCACCCUGUAGAAUUUACCUUUAAGCUUGGGCGGCACCUUCUUAUCAUACAACACCCUCGAAGGGAGCUUUCACUUCAUCCAUCCCGCCCCAAUACGGUGCGAGACCUCCUCGUCAAUCUCACCGUUACCCUGAAUCACGGACCCGAGAUACUUGAAACUAUCCCUCUUACAUACCACCUGUGAUUCCAACUUCACUACCACCUCAUUCUCCAGCCUCACGUCAUUAAACUUGCAUUCCAAAUACUCUUUCUUGCUUCUACUCAACCUGAACCCUUUAGACUCAAGAGUUUGUAUCCAUACCUCUAAUUUAUCAUUCACACCCCCCUCUCCCCCACAUCUCAUCAAUCAAAACUACAUCAUCUGCAAAAAGCAUACUCCAAGGCACCUCUCUUUGAAUACGCUGCGUCAACACAUCCAUCACCAAAACAAGCAAAAAGGGACUAAGAGUAGAUCCCUGAUGCAAUCCUAUUAAGACAGUAAAAUGCUCUGAGUCUCCUCCCGCCGUCCUCACCUGAGUUUUAGCUCCAUCAUACAUGUCCUUAAUUGCUCUGAUAUAUGCCACCGGGACUCUACUCACCUCCAAGCAUCUCCAAAAUACCUCCCUGGGGCCUUUGUCGUAUGCCUUCUCCAAGUCGAUAAAUACCAUAUGCAGGUGCUUCUUCCUCUCCCUAUACUGUUCCACCAGCCUCCGUACAAGGUGAAUUGCCUCCGUCGUCGAGCGGCCAGGCAUAAAUCCAAACUGGUUCUCCGAAAUAGACACUAUCCGUCUCAGCCUCACCUCGACCACUCUCUCCCAAAUCUUCAUAGAGUGACUCAAUAACUUAAUACCCCUAUAGUUAUUGCAACUCUGAAUGUCACCCUUGUUCUUAUAAAGAGGGAUCAUAGUACUCCACCUUCAAGCCUCGGGCAUUUUCGUUGUCUUGAA
This 29975-nucleotide long non-coding RNA is filed under the name Capsicum annuum. RNAcentral's name for it is "long non-coding RNA (CANN_LNC015552)". Lineage: Eukaryota; Viridiplantae; Streptophyta; Magnoliopsida; Solanales; Solanaceae. The record is from RNAcentral.